CAGAGGCAGGUUAUCUUUCAGACUGUACUCUAGGGCAUGUGCUAAUUCAAAAAUCUUGUCCAUCUGAGCCUGACUGCUGACAAUUCCUUAGACAACAUUCUUUUUACACCAUCAGGCUACUCCUCUGACUGACAUUGAGUUAUCUUUCAGAGAACCGGAAAGAAAAGUCAUGUAGAGAUGCUGACUCUCUAGUGGAGAUGCACUUAGUGUAUUAAAGUUCUCCCAGGCUUCGGAGUAAAGAUGCACGCGUGUGCUUUCAUACACUGAUGGAACUUAGAAAAGGGCGCUCUGCUAUCAAUGCCCUAUAUUAAUGCCACGCAGAACAAGAUCUGGCAAGUGCCCUCCUCGUACGCUUGAGGAAAAGGUUAGACACCUCAUUACAAUGGACAAGUCUACAGACUCACUCACAUGAAACAAUGCUGAAUAUGGCUUUCCUCAGCGUUGGUGGCAACUCAAGUCACCCAAGCACCCUGCCACACAUGACCAUCCACACUUCAUCAUCAAAGCAGACAUGUGACCACUGCGCUCUCAGUAUCUGCCUGAAUAAAUCCUUGCAAGUCAUUCAGGAGGGAAGCACGAGCUUUGCACAGUUAGAGCACUGAGGCUGACUGGGAGAGCACUGUCUUUACUCGUCAGCUUUUGGACAAACCACCAGUUUACAGUUACUAACUGUGAACCUGCCUUUCUAGCUACUUAAGCCAAUACCGUACCUGUAAGGUCUCUCUGCAGACAUAGGCUAUUUGCAAUUCAGAUAAUGGUCCAGUAACUACAAAGAAAGAACAACAAAAGACAUACUGUCAUUUGAGGUUAACAUUAAAAUCAGUCUAGCUAUAAAAUGAUAAAGCAGCAUAUAACUUCUGCAUGUAUCACUGGAUGCCUUCUUUUCUGACUAAGAACAGAUAGCAUUUACAUAAUUUAAAUGAAACAAACACUGAGAAUUUUAAAGUCAAUUCUAAAAAUAAGAGCUUUAUUCCCAGACAGCUCUGGAGAGUGAACAUGUAAAAUGCCCAUUAUGUGUAAAACUUAGUGCACGUGGCUCACAUAGGUCCCCAGAGAGCCAGGACUGUCAGUUCAGUCCUCGCACAGUCUCAGGGACUAAACCAGGAGCAUGGCUGACCCUGUUCGUGAGUUACUGGCAGAGACACAGCACUGGAGGAGACCUGCUCCUGACCUCCGAGAACAUGCAUACACAGUGCAUGCUCACAUAUGCAAAACAGUCACAACACAAAACAAUAUGAAGACCUUAAAGUUUAGUCAGAAGUAGCCGUUUGGAAACUAGUCUAGGGGCUUCUUUAACAUGGUCUCUAUGCAUAACGAGGGCUGAAACCCCGAUGAGUAGAUGCUUGCGGAGUGCAAGUCUUCCCAUGGUUCUCAGAUCAGGGAGGCCUGGUUCAGAACCUUACCAACGAUCAAAAGGAACCAGAUGAUCUCUGGAAAGCAGAGCUUCCUCUAACAUGAAAUAGAAAAUCCUUAUGCAAGUAUCCCAUUGGAGCUUCGAAACAGUGCCUUUUGUACAUGAGAAGAAACUAGAGUGCUGCCUGCUGCUGCUGAGGCCCAACUAGAGCUGACGCGACAUCUCCGCAUAGAGAAAGACCUUGCUGCUUCGUUUCAUUUCUGACUGACCACAUCUACUCCCAGAAAUAAAUGCCUGAUCCUUAGUAAACUGAUAAAAGAGCAAU
This 1679-nucleotide long non-coding RNA is filed under the name Mus pahari (shrew mouse). RNAcentral's name for it is "lncRNA (MGP_PahariEiJ_G0006320.1)". The record is from RNAcentral. Lineage: Eukaryota; Metazoa; Chordata; Mammalia; Rodentia; Muridae.